This 1266-nucleotide ribosomal RNA is filed under the name metagenome. Its description in RNAcentral is "bacterial LSU rRNA". It matches the Rfam family "Bacterial large subunit ribosomal RNA", at positions 1639 to 2925 of the family's 2925-position model. The record is from RNAcentral.
UGCCUGUACCAUAACCGACACAGGUGGGUAAGUAGAGUAUACUAAGGGGCGCGAGAUAACUCUCUCUAAGGAACUCGGCAAAAUAACUCCGUAACUUCGGGAGAAGGAGUGCCUUAUUCUUAAGGUUGCAAUAACAAGAUCCAAGCAACUGUUUAUCAAAAACACAGGUCUCCGCUAAGUCAUAAGACGAUGUAUGGGGGCUGACGCCUGCCCAGUGCCAGAAGGUUAAAGAAGUCGGUUAGCAAUAGCAAAGCUGGUAACUGAAGCCCUGGUGAACGGCGGCCGUGACAAUAACGGUCCUAAGGUAGCGAAAUUCCUUGUCGGGUAAGUUCCGACCCGCACGAAAGGCGUAAUGAUUUGGAUGCUGUCUCGGAGAGGGGCUCGGUGAAAUAGACUUGUCUGUGAAGAUGCGGACUACCUGCACCAGGACAGAAAGACCCUAUGAAGCUUUACUGUAACUUGAAAUUGAAAUUGGACUUUAUUCGCGCAGUAUAGGUGGGAGGCGUUGAUUAUAAUCUUGUGGGAUUAUUGGAGCCAUCAGUGAGAUACCACUCUUGUAAUGUUAGAUUUCUAACUUUGAGUCAUUAUCUGGUCAAAGGACAGUUUCAGGCGGGCAGUUUGACUGGGGCGGUCGCCUCCUAAACGGUAACGGAGGCGUACUAAGGUUUCCCCUGAACGGUUAGAAAUCGUAUCUAGAGUGUAAAGGCAUAAGGAAGCUUGACUGUGAGACCUACAAGUCGAGCAGGGACGAAAGUCGGUCUUAGUGAUCUGACGGUACUGAGUGGAAAGGCCGUCACUCAACGGAUAAAAGUUACUCUAAGGAUAACAGGCUGAUCUCCCCCAAGAGUUCACAUCGACGGGGAGGUUUGGCACCUCGAUGUCGGCUCAUCGCAUCCUGGGGCGGUAGUACGUCCCAAGGGUUGGGCUUUCGCCCAUGAAAGCGGUACGCGAGCUGGGUUCAGAACGUCGUGAGACAGUUCGGUCCAUAUCCGGUGUAGGCGCUAGAAUAUUGAGAGGAGCCUUCUUUAGUACGAGAGGACCGAGAAGGACAUACCUCUGGUGUACCAGUUAUCGUGCCAACGGUAAACGCUGGGUAGCUAUGUAUGGAGUGGAUAACCGCUGAAAGCAUCUAAGUGGGAAGCCCACCUCAAGAUAAGUAUUCUCAUCACGUAAGUGAGUAAGGUCACGGUAAGACUAACCGUUUGAUAGGCAUUAAGUGUAAGUACAGUAAUGUAUGUGCUGAGAUGUCCUAAUAGACCGAGGACC